Molecule: ribosomal RNA, 468 nt
Filed under: uncultured bacterium
Lineage: Bacteria
Description: partial 16S ribosomal RNA
Rfam family: Bacterial small subunit ribosomal RNA
Source: RNAcentral
GACGAACGCUGGCGGCGUGCUUAACACAUGCAAGUCGAACGGAAAGGCCCUGCUUUUGUGGGGUGCUCGAGUGGCGAACGGGUGAGUAACACGUGAGUAACCUGCCCUUGACUUUGGGAUAACUUCAGGAAACUGGGGCUAAUACCGGAUAGGAGCUCCUGCUGCAUGGUGGGGGUUGGAAAGUUUCGGCGGUUGGGGAUGGACUCGCGGCUUAUCAGCUUGUUGGUGGGGUAGUGGCUUACCAAGGCUUUGACGGGUAGCCAGCCUGAGAAGGUGACCGGCCACAUUGGGACUGAGAUACGGCCCAGACUCCUACGGGAGGCAGCAGUGGGGAAUAUUGCACAAUGGGCGGAAGCCUGAUGCAGCAACGCCGCGUGCGGGAUGACGGCCUUCGGGUUGUAAACCGCUUUCGCCUGUGACGAAGCGUGAGUGACGGUAAUGGGUAAAGAAGCACCGGCUAACUACGUG